This 549-nucleotide ribosomal RNA is filed under the name Panagrolaimus sp. A6 ARA-2018. Its description in RNAcentral is "SSU rRNA". It matches the Rfam family "Eukaryotic small subunit ribosomal RNA", at positions 88 to 631 of the family's 1831-position model. The record is from RNAcentral. Lineage: Eukaryota; Metazoa; Nematoda; Chromadorea; Rhabditida; Panagrolaimidae.
CGCGUAUGGCUCAUUAUAACAGCUAAAAUUUACUUGAUAUUGAGAUUUAUCUACAUGGAUAACUGGGGUAAUUCUGGAGCUAAUACAUGCAUAAAAGCUAUAUCUUUAUUGAUAUGGUGCAGUUAUUGGAUCAAAAUCAAGCAUCUUCGGAUGUUUAUGAUUGACUUCAAAUAAUUACACAGCUGAUCGUAUGGUCUUGUACCGACGACAGAUCAUUCAAGUGUCUGACCUAUCAACUUUCUAUAUAAGUAUAUAGUACUUAUAUGGUUUUGACGGGUAACGGAGAAUUAGGGUUCGACUCCGGAGAAAAUGCCUGAGAAACGGCGUUUACAUCCAAGGAAGGCAGCAGGCGCGAAAAUUACCCACUCUCAGUACGAGGAGGUAGUGACGAGAAAUGACAAGAUCUAGUCCUUCGGGGCUGGAUCAUUGGAAUGGUUUGAUUUUAAAAUCAUUAAAGAGUAUCAAUGAGAGGGCAAGUCUGGUGCCAGCAGCCGCGGUAAUUCCAGCUCUCAUACUGCAUUGAAUUGUUGUUGCGGUUAAAAAGCUCGU